GUAGGUGGCAAGCGUCGUCCGGAAUUAUUGGGCGUAAAGCGCGCGCAGGCGGUUCUUUAAGUCUGAUGUGAAAGCCCACGGCUCAACCGUGGAGGGUCAUUGGAAACUGGAGAACUUGAGUACAGAAGAGGAAAGCGGAAUUCCACGUGUAGCGGUGAAAUGCGUAGAGAUGUGGAGGAACACCAGUGGCGAAGGCGGCUUUCUGGACUGUAACUGACGCUGAGGCGCGAAAGCGUGGGGAGCAAACAGGGAUUAGAUACCCUGGUAGUCCACGCCGUAAACGAUGAGUGCUAAGCGUUAGGGGGUUUCCGCCCCCUUAGUGCUGCAGCUAACGCAUUAAGCACUCCGCCUGGGGAUACGGCCGCAAGGCUG
Molecule: ribosomal RNA, 372 nt
Filed under: uncultured organism
Description: partial 16S ribosomal RNA
Rfam family: Bacterial small subunit ribosomal RNA
Source: RNAcentral